UCAUAAAAUUUGAUUUUUUUGUAAACUGAGUUUAAUUAAAUAGUAAUAUGUUUGGUGUGGCAUUUCUGAACAAUUUUUUUAGAAAACUGUGUUUGAAAUUCGACAACCCCUCGGUUUAGUGAAUAUAUGUAUGCUAUAAUGAGCUUAAUACCCAUUCACAUAUACAGUUACUUUUAAUAGAAAUAUAUAUAACAUAAAUAAUAUAUAAAUAAAUAAAUUUAUUCCUUUUCACUCUCCACAAAAUAAAAUUUAUGCUGAAUUGCAGCGGAUUAUUGUGUCUCUGUAUAAAAAUAAUUUGACUUUUGACUGAAAUUUCACGCCCCACAAUACAAUAACAACUACGAAACAAUAACUUUCUAUACAUUUUUGUUUGCCCUUUCUUUCACAAGUUUUUUUUUUCUUUUUAUUUAAUGGUGAAAAAAAUUUUGGGUGAAUAAAUUAAGAAUUUGUGUUGAAAAAGCGAAAAUUUAACAACAAAAUCCGUUGACUUCACGCCGCGUUGCCUUUUUAAUGUACUUGAAAAUUAUGUAUUAGCAUUAACAUUAACAUUCGCACUGAGUCUCGAAAACGCAUGCCAAUCGCCAUGAAACAAUUUGAAAGAAAAACAAAAAAAACAUGGAAAUUUCGUAACACUAUCUGCACAAAUAAUAGCUUCGGGGCUGGAAUAACCUACUCCUCCUAGGAAUCUAGAUAAGAUGUACGAUGAAAUCACAGGUGAAGAUGGACUUACAGGGUCUAAGAACCAAAAAAACUGCUUUGGAAUCUCGAUACAGAAAAUUAUGACAUUAUAAAAAUGGGAGAAGACUAGAUUAAUAUAGAUAAUGGUCAUAAACAAAUAGUGUUUCAGAUCAGAUGGUGUUAUGGAGGAAGAUCUGCAAAUAAUUUUGAAGAAUGCUGCCGAUUAAAAAUCCGGUCCCGCUACGGUUACCUCGACCCGACUGUUGUGGCAACGCUUCAAAAGACGUCAGUGGGCGUAGUUAGUAAGGAAGAAAGCUAAUUGGAAAAUGUUCAGAGAUUGAAAGGCAGCCGAUAACGACCAGGAACAUAUGCCAACACAUAAAAAAAGUAUUGUUUCGAUAGUGAUUGUUAAUUGGAAUUACACUUCAAGCUGAACCAUCCCCAAUAUACUUCCAGUAACAAAUGUACGAUUAAUUUUUGUUGACACUGUGCUUAAGGUAUACUAAUUACAAACAGUGUUCAGCUCACUUUCAGCCACAUUGUCCGUCCGUGUUAAAAUUAGGUUGAAAUUCGUGGUAAUAUCUCGCAUUUACAUGAUGGCUAUUUCUGUUUAGAAAGAUAUUAGCAUUGACAGCGCGCUGGUCUAUGGCCCAAUUAUUGUGAGCGCAGGUUGAAUUCAACUAUAUACAAACUUACCUACAUACAUACAUACAGGUAUCUUCCAUUCAGACAGUGACUGAAAAUUUAUAUCUACAUAUGUACAUAUGUACAUAUGUAUAUUUUAACACGUGCAAGCGAUAAAUUUUAUAUGAAAAGCAGAAAAAUAGACAAAGCGUCACAGCGUACAACGGGCGGUAAAAGCUACCACUUUGUUUUCAUGUCUGUUGUUUUUUUGUUUUUUAUUUUUAUAUUUUUUAUUUUUUUCGUGUGUUUUUAGCGAACGAAAAGAAAAAGUAGCGGCAAAUCUAUUUGUGCUCUGUCGGUUUUUAUUGUUAAUGUGGAAGUAUCACAAGCGCAGAAAAGUAAAAUGUAUUGUACAAAUUCUAGUUAAUUGAGUAUCCACUGUUAGCACUUUCGGUUAGCAUGCAAGAAACUGUGUGUAAGAUACAAUAAUUUCUAAUUUUGAGCAUUCUGAUUUUACGGCAGUUUAUAAGAGAUUAGAGGCUGUUCCCGUUAGUUGGAGUUUAUAUCCAUAUAUGUAUGUGUGUUUGUUUGUAUUGAAAAAUAUGCAUAUUACUUGUGUAUUUUGCAAACUCGUUAACGCCUUUCUCCUCAGUUAAUGUGAUACAUCUAAUAAUAUAGAAUGUGUAUGCAUACAUACAUAUCUACAUAAGUAGUAGGGAUUUAGGUACAUAUUUACAUAAGUACAAAAUGCGUUAGAGUAUAGAAACCACCUUUUGAGCUGAGCUUUUCUCUGGCAUCUAACAAUGUUACUUAUGAAGUCUACAUUAUACAGUGGAACUUCCAUAACUCGAACUUUCUUAACUCGAAGUUCUCCAUAACUCGAACUCUUGAAUUGGCAAUAGAAGUCAAAUUUCAUACUAAUCUCCUUCCAUAAAUCGAAAUUUUCGACCAGGGAAUAAUAAAAAAAAUGUACUAUCGAGGCACAAUUUUAAGAGUCAGAGGGAUAGAUCGUAUGGAGGAGAAUAAAAAAUAUGAUAUUACUCUAAUGGAUUUCAUAAAUCAUAAAACAAAAUCAUGGGAUGCAGUCGUUAAGAGCCAAACAAUAGUAAAGUGUAACAAACAAAAUUACAGAAUUCAUGUUUUAAUGUAUUUAAAUAAAAGUCUAUGCGAAGUAAAUAACUAAAACUGUGUAUAAAUCUAUAUAUCACAACUUUUUGAAAACUUAAUAUUUUAUUGAAAAUUUCUAUAACUCGAAGUUUUUUUGUGGAUUUUGAUUUGAGUUAGAGAAGUUCCACUGUACUUAUUAAAUAUAUCAAGACGCAUGGUAUUUGAAAAAAUCCACAUAUGUCAUAUCAAAUAUAUUUCAGUAUCGAAGCACAAUCCUUAAUGCCAUUGUAUACUGCUUUGACUCCUGAAGUAGAAAUAAUUUCCAAUUCCAAAUUUUAGCGCAGUCGAUACACAUUCUCAUAACUUAGGCACACAUAACUAAAUAAACUAAAUAAAUAGAAUACAAAAUAUUUUUUCUUUUUUUUAACUACGCACUGAACCGGCAAUGUCAUAUAGUUUUACACACUUCUGACCACCGCGGUCGAUAUUUCUGCAGAACAGAAUGACUCAUGCCUUGAACUACAAAGUAAGGAGGUGCUGCGAAAAGUUUGCCAUUUUUAGGAAAAAUCAAUGUGGAAACGCUCGUGUUCUUUAAACAAUAAAACGACUGACGCAUUGAAGUGUAUCAAAUAACUAAAGACAGGAACAAAUAAUAAAACAUUGUCUUUAUAACUACAGAAUAGUAAAACAUGUGCAAAAUAGUUGCAAAAGGAAGAAAGGAAUCGCCCAAUAUGUACAAAUGUACAUAUAAAUACCCUUGACUGUUAGCAAAGGAAACAUCCCUUACGAUCACAACGUGUUGAUAACUCGCGACAUACCUACAUAUAUAUAUAGAAAUGUAAAAUUUGUCUGCUGUUGCCGGGCGUUGCACAAUCACCAAUUGCUUUAUAUUUACACAAAUGUUGCAGAAAUUUUAACAAAAAGCUGUCAUAAACUGCCAAUAAGUCUACAGCAGCAGUAAAUUGUUGGGAAGUAAAGAUAUGCCUUAGUUUAAUGAAGAAAAUAUUAUUAAAUCAAUUUUAUUAUAUACAUAUAUUUAUAAGAUUUCCUAGCCAUUCUUCAAUUAUAUGUAAAUUUCUAUUGUACAAAUGUUAAAAUACUUUCAUCGCCAACUUAAAAACUAUAAACAUGAAUAUUAUUUGCAAUUGCAAUAUACCACAAAUGAAUGUGUGUGUACAUAUUUAUUUUUACAAUAAAGUGUGAGAAAUGUGCUUUGUGCAAUAGAAAGCCAAAUCAGGAAAAGGAAAUGCAAACAUACAUAUAUACAAAAUGAUGUACUACGGAAGAUGGUAGUAGGUAAUGCAGAGUGGACUUACCGCAGGUCAAGUUGGAAAUCUCAAUAAUCCAAGUUGUUUUCAAUCCAAUUGGAAAUUUAUUGAAUUAAAAAUGUGUUUACUUCUGCUUUUACAACGACGAAUAGUGCGUUUCACGUAUUUUCGAGAUUCACUAUACGUAUUUAACACAAAUUUAUGCACUCGUCUUUUAAAAUAUGUAAAAGCGUUUGCCCGUAUGCAAAAUGUAUGUAUGUAUAUGUGUAUGUAUCAAAUAUGUCUGCCGGUUUGCAAGCGAUUAGCGGAUUUUAUGUGCAUCAGCAGCAA
This is a long non-coding RNA of Zeugodacus cucurbitae (melon fly), 4007 nucleotides long. RefSeq lists it as uncharacterized. The record is from RefSeq and is a predicted model, not a curated record. The transcript has 2 exons. Lineage: Eukaryota; Metazoa; Arthropoda; Insecta; Diptera; Tephritidae.